Homarus americanus (American lobster) is the source of this 158-nucleotide long non-coding RNA. RefSeq lists it as uncharacterized. The transcript has 3 exons. NCBI's taxonomy places the organism in Eukaryota, Metazoa, Arthropoda, Malacostraca, Decapoda, Nephropidae. The record is from RefSeq and is a predicted model, not a curated record.
GGUGAUAUAACAGGUCGUCAACAUGCUCCAACAACUAGUGUCUUCCCUUCUACUGCUAGUGGUAGUGGUGGCUGUCGUAGCUGGUCAAGCGGACUGGAGCUACGAUCGACCCAGCACUGAUCUUCCAGGGGCUUGUUAAGGACAAAUUUCUCAAACAA